UACGAAGGGGGCUAGCGUUGCUCGGAAUCACUGGGCGUAAAGCGCACGUAGGCGGAUUGUUAAGUCAGGGGUGAAAUCCUGGAGCUCAACUCCAGAACUGCCUUUGAUACUGGCGAUCUUGAGUCCGGGAGAGGUGAGUGGAACUGCGAGUGUAGAGGUGAAAUUCGUAGAUAUUCGCAAGAACACCAGUGGCGAAGGCGGCUCACUGGCCCGGUACUGACGCUGAGGCACGAAAGCUAGGGGAGCAAACAGG
RNAcentral lists this ribosomal RNA (253 nucleotides) under uncultured bacterium. RNAcentral's name for it is "partial 16S ribosomal RNA". It matches the Rfam family "Bacterial small subunit ribosomal RNA", at positions 524 to 776 of the family's 1533-position model. The record is from RNAcentral.